RNAcentral lists this ribosomal RNA (356 nucleotides) under uncultured bacterium. RNAcentral's name for it is "bacterial SSU rRNA". It matches the Rfam family "Bacterial small subunit ribosomal RNA", at positions 335 to 678 of the family's 1533-position model. The record is from RNAcentral.
ACUCCUACGGGAGGCAGCAGUGGGGAAUAUUGCACAAUGGGGGAAACCCUGAUGCAGCCAUGCCGCGUGUGUGAAGAAGGCCUUCGGGUUGUAAAGCACUUUCAGUAGGGAGGAAGGUAGUGUAGUUAACACCUGCAUUAUUUGUACGUUACCUACAGAAGAAGCACCGGCUAACUCCGUGCCAGCAGCCGCGGUAAUACGGAGGGUGCGAGCGUUAAUACGGAAUUACGUGGGCGUAAAGCGCAUGCAGGCGGCCUGUUAAGUCAGAUGUGAAACGCCCGGGGCUUAACCGUCGGAAUUGCAUUUGAAACUGGCAGGCUAGAGUCUUAGUAGAGGGGUUAGAAUUUCAGGUGUAG